Molecule: long non-coding RNA, 1300 nt
Organism: Lynx canadensis (Canada lynx)
Lineage: Eukaryota; Metazoa; Chordata; Mammalia; Carnivora; Felidae
Exons: 3
Source: RefSeq, a predicted model, not a curated record
GUAACCGAACUCGACUGUCCUCGGGAUGCCUGGACCAACCCCGCUGGCUGGACAGCGUCGAGGGGCGGGGGGGGGGGGCACUUGCAGAACUUCUAGCACCUCCGGAGAGAGAAAAGUGAGGGAAGCCCAGGUCUAGUGAGCCAAAAAGCCCGGAAAAGCAAGCCCUCCCCAGCACCCUAAAACGAAAACCCAGAUGCCCUUCAGGACAAUCGGCCAUCACCCAAAGCACAGAGCAGCGAAUCUCCAGUCGAAGGACCCGUUUAUUCGUGGCUGCUUUGGUCCUCCGCUUUCUUAAGGAGUUAAAUUCAUAUCAUCAAAGGCUCUUAUUCAAGUAAGCAACAAUACUCCAAUCUGGCUAUGCAUGAAAAUCACUUGGGAUGUUUCUAAAAGUGAGAUUCCUGGAUCUACCCUGAAGUUCUGUCUAUUGAGAGGACCUGAAAAGAAUGUCAUCCCAGUAACUCUGAUCACAGCUACCACCCUAAAUCUUGGUUUUGGAAUACCAUUUUGUCAUUCAAAGAAAUGGAGGCUUCUUAAGGAGUGGCUGUUUCUACCUCUGAAACAAGGAAAAUAGAAGACAGACCUGGGACUUGUUGUACCAGAUGGCAAGGAAGCCCUCAAAAACCAAUGGGGUGAUGAUAAAAAGAUUCAGGCGCCACCUUGAAGGGACUUCCACUAGCCAAAUUUCGGGAAGCUUGAGAAUCAAAAAAAUCACUGCACUUGAUUGUAACACACUGAGUAUGUAAAAAGUGAUGUGUCCAUUGUGAUACUUCCUAAAAACAAAAACAAAACAAAACAAAAAAACACCUUUUAAGGAAGAAGGAAAGGGGAAAAAAAAGGAAAAGAAGAAAAGAGUGUCAGGUAAGAAAUUUAAAAAGAAAUUCUAAAAAUAUAAAACACCAUUUUGCAAUCCACAACGUAAUAACGGAUUCAAGCAAGGGUCACAAAAGGCUAAAAAAAAAAACAAAAAACAUUGAGUGAAAAGUCAAUGGGAAACCAUGGCUCAAUAGUCUCACGGCUAUAAUAGAUUACAAACUGCAAAGGGGAAAAUGUAUUUUUACAAUGAAGAUUCUUGUCAGUCACCCCUUUGUCAAGUUUUCAAACUUCACGCCAUUAAUGAGACAAACUGAUGUGUGUCCCGUGGUAGGAUGCAGUAUAAUGUACAGAAGAUCAGCUGUGAAGUAUUUUUGCCAAAAACAUUUAACCUGGUUUUAAUUAAGGCUGUAGACCACAUUGUUCAAUGAAAAUAUGUGAACUACAUAUGUAAUUUAAAACUUUCUAGUAGCCACAUUAAAAAAAGAAA